Molecule: non-coding RNA, 453 nt
Organism: Callithrix jacchus (white-tufted-ear marmoset)
Lineage: Eukaryota; Metazoa; Chordata; Mammalia; Primates; Cebidae
Source: RefSeq, a predicted model, not a curated record
AGAUGGGACCCUCUGGUUGCAGGAGAACAAGUUCAGGACUCCCACUGAUUCUACGUUAUGAUUGCUUGCUCUGUUGCCCAAGCUGGAGUGCAGUGGUGCGAUCUCGGCUCACCACAGCCUCUACCUCCUGGAUUCAAGUGAUUCUCCUGCCUCAGCUUCCUGAGUAGCUGGGACUACAGUUGCGUGUGACCAUGCCCGGCUAAUAUUUGUAUUUUUAGUAGAGAUGGGGUUUCCCCAUGUUGGCCAGGCUGGUCUCGAACUCCUGACCUUGUGAUCCACCUGCUUUGGCCUCCCGAAGUGCUGGGAUUACAGGCGUGAGCCACCGCGCCCAGCCAUACUAUGCCAUUUUAUAUCAGGGACUUAAGCAUCCUUAGAUUUUGGUACCUGCAAGGAGUCUUGAACCCACUAUAUGUAUACAUUGUACAAUGAUUAAAUAAAGUUAAUUAGCAUAUC